RNAcentral lists this transfer RNA (84 nucleotides) under Homarus americanus (American lobster). Its description in RNAcentral is "tRNA-Leu". It matches the Rfam family "tRNA". Rfam says of the family: Transfer RNA (tRNA) molecules are approximately 80 nucleotides in length. Their secondary structure includes four short double-helical elements and three loops (D, anti-codon, and T loops). RNAcentral also lists the same sequence under 1 other name. The record is from Rfam by way of RNAcentral. Lineage: Eukaryota; Metazoa; Arthropoda; Malacostraca; Decapoda; Nephropidae.
GUCAGGUUGGCCGAGUGGUCUAAGGCGCCAGACUUAAGUUCUGGUACUCGUAAGAGUGCGUGGGUUCGAACCCCACACCUGACA